Molecule: ribosomal RNA, 498 nt
Filed under: uncultured fungus
Lineage: Eukaryota; Fungi
Description: eukaryotic LSU rRNA
Rfam family: 5.8S ribosomal RNA (bases 141-294)
Source: RNAcentral
UUCGGCCUGGUUAUUCAUAACCCUUUGUUGUCCGACUCUGUUGCCUCCGGGGCGACCCUGCCUUCGGGCGGGGGCUCCGGGUGGACACUUCAAACUCUUGCGUAACUUUGCAGUCUGAGUAAACUUAAUUAAUAAAUUAAAACUUUUAACAACGGAUCUCUUGGUUCUGGCAUCGAUGAAGAACGCAGCGAAAUGCGAUAAGUAAUGUGAAUUGCAGAAUUCAGUGAAUCAUCGAAUCUUUGAACGCACAUUGCGCCCCCUGGUAUUCCGGGGGGCAUGCCUGUUCGAGCGUCAUUUCACCACUCAAGCCUCGCUUGGUAUUGGGCAACGCGGUCCGCCGCGUGCCUCAAAUCGUCCGGCUGGGUCUUCUGUCCCCUAAGCGUUGUGGAAACUAUUCGCUAAAGGGUGUUCGGGAGGCUACGCCGUAAAACAACCCCAUUUCUAAGGUUGACCUCGGAUCAGGUAGGGAUACCCGCUGAACUUAAGCAUAUCAAUAAG